Molecule: ribosomal RNA, 520 nt
Filed under: uncultured Glomus
Lineage: Eukaryota; Fungi; Glomeromycota; Glomeromycetes; Glomerales; Glomeraceae
Description: SSU rRNA
Rfam family: Eukaryotic small subunit ribosomal RNA
Source: RNAcentral
AGCAGCCGCGGUAAUUCCAGCUCCAAUAGCGUAUAUUAAAGUUGCUGCAGUUAAAAAAGCUCGUAGUUGAAUUUCGGGAUCAAUAUGUUGGUCGUGCCUCGGUACGUACUAGCUUAUUGGUUUCUUCCUUCUGACGAACCAUAAUGUCAUUUAUUUGGUGUUAUGGGGGAAUCAGGACUGUUACUUUGAAAAAAAUUAGAGUGUUUAAAGCAGGCUCACGCUUGAAUACAUUAGCAUGGAAUAAUGAAAUAGGACGUUUGAUUCUAUUUUGUUGGUUUCUAGGAUCGACGUAAUGAUUAAUAGGGAUAGUUGGGGGCAUUAGUAUUCAAUUGUCAGAGGUGAAAUUCUUGGAUUUUAUUGAAGACUAACUACUGCGAAAGCAUUUGCCAAGGAUGUUUUCAUUAAUCAAGAACGAAAGUUAGGGGAUCGAAGACGAUCAGAUACCGUCGUAGUCUUAACCAUAAACUAUGCCGACUAGGGAUCGGAUGAUGUUAAUUUUUUAAUGACUCAUUCGGCUACC